Molecule: ribosomal RNA, 440 nt
Filed under: uncultured bacterium
Lineage: Bacteria
Description: partial 16S ribosomal RNA
Rfam family: Bacterial small subunit ribosomal RNA
Source: RNAcentral
CCUACGGGAGGCAGCAGUGGGGGAUAUUGCACAAUGGGGGAAACCCUGAUGCAGCGACGCCGCGUGGGUGAAGAAGCGCCUCGGCGCGUAAAGCCCUGUCAGCAGGGAAGAAAAUGACGGUACCUGAAGAAGAAGCCCCGUCUAACUACGGGCCAGCCGCCGCGGUACGACGGAGGGGGCAAGCGUUAUCCGGAUUGACUGGGGGUAAAGGGGGAGCAGACGGCGAUGCAAGCCAGGAGGGAAAGCCCGGGGGCCAACCCCGGGACUGCUCUUGGAACUGCGUGGCUAGAGUGCAGGAGGGGGAGGCGGAAUGCCUGGUGUAGCGGUGAAAUGCGUAGAUAUCAGGAGGAACACCGGGGGCGAAGGCGGCCUGCUGGACUGCAACUGACGUUGAGGCCCGAAAGCGUGGGGAGCAAACAGGAUUAGAUACCCCAGUAGUC